Molecule: ribosomal RNA, 450 nt
Filed under: uncultured bacterium
Lineage: Bacteria
Description: partial 16S ribosomal RNA
Rfam family: Bacterial small subunit ribosomal RNA
Source: RNAcentral
GUGGGGAAUUUUGGACAAUGGGCGCAAGCCUGAUCCAGCAAUGCCGCGUGCAGGAAGAAGGCCUUCGGGUUGUAAACUGCUUUUGUACGGAACGAAACGGUCCGGGUUAAUACCCUGGGCUAAUGACGGUACCGUAAGAAUAAGCACCGGCUAACUACGUGCCAGCAGCCGCGGUAAUACGUAGGGUGCAAGCGUUAAUCGGAAUUACUGGGCGUAAAGCGUGCGCAGGCGGCUUUGUAAGACGGAUGUGAAAGCCCCGGGCUCAACCUGGGAAGUGCAUUCGUGACUGCAAGGCUAGAGUGUGUCAGAGGGAGGUGGAAUUCCGCGUGUAGCAGUGAAAUGCGUAGAGAUGCGGAGGAACACUGAUGGCGAAGGCAAUCCCCUGGACCUGUACUGACGCUCAUGCACGAAAGCGUGGGGAGCAAACAGGAUUAGAAACCCCAGUAGUCC